GAGAGUUUGAUCCUGGCUCAGGACGAACGCUGGCGGCGUGCUUAACACAUGCAAGUCACGGGGGCCCGCAAGGGUAACCGGCGAACGGGUGCGUAACACGUGAACAAUCUGCCUAGAUGUGGGGGAUAGCCGGCCCAACGGCCGGGUAAUACCGCAUACGCUCUUCGGGUGGCAUCACUUGAAGAGGAAACCUCCGGGGCAUCUAGAGGAGUUCGCGGCCUAUCAGCUAGUUGGUGGGGUAACGGCCUACCAAGGCAAUGACGGGUAGCUGGUCUGAGAGGAUGGCCAGCCACAUUGGGACUGAGAUACGGCCCAGACUCCUACGGGAGGCAGCAGUGGGGAAUAUUGCGCAAUGGCCGAAAGGCUGACGCAGCGACGCCGCGUGGGGGAUGAAGCAUUUCGGUGUGUAAACCCCUGUUGCCCGGGACGAACAAGCGAUUUUGAUCGCUCUGACGGUACCGGGUGAGGAAGCACCGGCUAACUCCGUGCCAGCAGCCGCGGUAAUACGGAGGGUGCGAGCGUUGUCCGGAAUCACUGGGCGUAAAGGGCGCGUAGGCGGUCUGCUAAGCGUGUGGUGAAAGCUCGGGGCUCAACCCCGAGUCUGCCAUGCGAACUGGUGGACUAGAGCACUGUAGAGGCAGGUGGAAUUCCGGGUGUAGCGGUGGAAUGCGUAGAGAUCCGGAAGAACACCAGUGGCGAAGGCGGCCUGCUGGGCAGUAGCUGACGCUGAGGCGCGAUAGCGUGGGGAGCAAACAGGAUUAGAUACCCUGGUAGUCCACGCCGUAAACGAUGGGGACUAGGUGCUUGGGGGAGCGACCCCUCGAGUGCCGGCGCUAACGCAUUAAGUCCCCCGCCUGGGGAGUACGACC
Molecule: ribosomal RNA, 869 nt
Filed under: uncultured bacterium
Lineage: Bacteria
Description: bacterial SSU rRNA
Rfam family: Bacterial small subunit ribosomal RNA
Source: RNAcentral